UUUAGGAGACACUUGUGAAAAUAUGCAAUGAAAAAUGAAUAUUUACAUUGAAAAUACAGGAAAUGAAAAUGAACAUUUUACUUUAUCAAUAUUUCUUAAUGUUUCAUUGAAGAAUGUAAUAAAUUAAAAGAAAUAUUGUAUUAAUUAGGAAAAGUUUUUAUUUCAGGUGUGUGAUUAAAGGCUUGUUUGUUAGAUUUCAAUUGUGGCACAGUUGGUUGUUUGCUGAGAAGCUGUGAAACAUAAUUAUACAGGCCAUUAAGUGGUACCAAAAAGAUGGUAAAUUGGUAGUGUUCAGUUCCGGGCAAACAUUUUCUUCAAGAGGUUUUUGUCAGAUUGAUGAAUGUGAAAUUAAGAGGACCCAUUUUGAGAAUGCAUCAAGAGAGAUAAAGUCUAAAAUGUGAUACUGUCAAUGUGACUAACCU
Molecule: long non-coding RNA, 422 nt
Organism: Ruditapes philippinarum (Manila clam)
Lineage: Eukaryota; Metazoa; Mollusca; Bivalvia; Venerida; Veneridae
Exons: 3
Source: RefSeq, a predicted model, not a curated record